CCAAAGUGCGUGAGGUGAUCAGUACAAGGGAGACUAAGGAAAGGUUGAGGAUUUGGGGAAAAAAACAGUUUAUUGAAAAGCCACACCCAGAAAAAGUUGCAACAGGUCAUGAGUUUAUCGAAACAUUCUGAACGGGAGGAAGAAACGAACUUUGUUAAAACUACCUCUAAGUGAAAUCGAGGAAAGUGUGGCAAUACAGCAAAAAUUCAAUGAAGAAAAUGAUGCUAAUUAAAGUAAAAAAAAUAGCAAUUAAGUUUAGCAAUAAAGUUACGCAUUAUAAGUAAUGUGUAAGGUCAAUUUUGCAUUUCAAUGUAGCCUGUCUAGAGGAAAGGUUAUGUUAAGCGGUAGCUCAGGAAAUGAAAACCUUCCAGCCUCUUUGACCUUGAAGCCUCUACAUAGUUUCCAGGAGAGAGGCAGACCAACUAUGCCAGAUGCCAUUUCACAGGAGGCAAGGGCAUGAAGACCAUUCUACUUCCUAGGAUGCUUGGAGUAGGGUGAUUAAGUAGAAAUUACUACUAAAAGUGGUGUGCCAAGUUUUUCUCUGAUGUGCUGCCAGGGAAGGGGUGGUGAUUCCUGAGAGGAGAUAGGUGGGGGGGAGUGUAUGCCCUGAUCUGUGCUAAUUCCUAAUUCUUGUAAAUAUCAGUUGGGAUGGGGCACUGUGCACUGACCAUCAAUUCCUCAAACAAAGAGCUUAUGGCAGCUUUCAAAAGAACAAAUUUUCUUACCUUUUCAGACUAUUCUCUUUUUUUUACUGUAAAAAGAGAGUUGAAUUAGAUAAUUUAUGACAUCUUCCUAAUUUAAUGUUUUCCUAGUUAAUGUUGGGUUUGACUCUUCUAUGAAUACUCUCUGACCCACUGAAACUUGACUUUCAUACUAUUUCUUGAACAAGAUACUCCGUCUCUCAACUCUGUAUAUUUUUACUUGCUGUCUUCCAUGCCUUGAAUGUCUUACCUUCUUCUGGCUUCUUUGGCUUCCUUCAAGUUUCAGUUAAAAUCCUAUAUUCAAGAAACCUUUCCCAAUCUCCUUUAAUGCUAGUGCCUUUUUCUCUGAAGUUUUCUCCGGUUUGUAUUCUAUAUAUCAUGUUUGUACAAAGUCAUUUGCAUGUUGUCUCCCUAUUAGAUUAUGAGCUCUUUGAUAAUUGGGAUUCCUUUUUUUUUUGCCUUUUCCCCAGUAUUUAGCACAGUGCUUAAUAAAUGCUUAUUAUUAUUUUAAAAACUUUUUUGU
RNAcentral lists this long non-coding RNA (1224 nucleotides) under Monodelphis domestica (gray short-tailed opossum). RNAcentral's name for it is "lncRNA (ENSMODG00000030259.2)". Lineage: Eukaryota; Metazoa; Chordata; Mammalia; Didelphimorphia; Didelphidae. The record is from RNAcentral.